Molecule: long non-coding RNA, 2321 nt
Organism: Oncorhynchus keta (chum salmon)
Lineage: Eukaryota; Metazoa; Chordata; Actinopteri; Salmoniformes; Salmonidae
Exons: 4
Source: RefSeq, a predicted model, not a curated record
UCUUAGCCCGUAGCCUAAUAAACUUCAUGGUUUCCUGUGUAGUGUAGUAAGUUCUAUGGAUGGUCUUAAACUGCAGUAAUUGAUGUCUGAGAUGAUAUGAAAAUGACUGGGCAUUCAAGCAUAUCUGUAUCCAUUCAUCAUUCCCAAUAGCUUCUACCAGGUCUUCCUCCCAUUUGUUUUACAAAAAUAAUUACCCUGGUGUACAUAUUAUACAUGAUAUUAUCCAAGAAUAGAAUCAAUGGUUCACCCGGUAUACCCUGAUGAGGACAGCUUGUCUGAGCUCCUAGAGUGUGCAGCUCUCCUUUAUUUUUUAAAGUGUUCCACUCCUCUAGCCAGCACCUCACCUGAAUAGGUGUGCGUUUCUGUCGCCUCAAUAAUUGAAAUUACCCUUAUUCCAGACUAUAGCUUUAAGGACCAACUUUGGGAAACUCUGAGUUACACUACUACUAGCUCAGCACUGUGAAUAAACACUAGUUAGAUUUUUUAUGAUAAGUUAAACAGCUGUUACCUUGCCAACUAAAGAGUAGCCAGUUUCUGCUCUGCUUGCUUUUACAACUCGGAGAAAGAAUGGUGUCAGGUUCCCUCCAGAUGUGACGCUUGGCAUUCAGGUCAAAGGUUAAUCAAAACAGAGAAUCUUGUUUUUCAUGGUGCAUGCAGGGUGUCAUAUGCCUUUUACUAAGGAGUGACUUCCGUCUUCCCACUCUACCAUAAAUGCCUAAUUGGAGUGCUGCAGAGAUGGUUGUCCUUCUGAAAGGUUCUCCUUCUGGAUGGUUGUCCUUCUGGAAGGAACUGUAGAGCUAUGUCAGUGACCAUCAGGUUCUUGGCCACCGCCCUGACUAAGGCCCUUCUCCCCCGAUGGUUCAGUUUGGCCGGGCAGCCAGCUCUAGGAAGAGUCCUGAUGGUUCCAAAUAUCUUCCAUUUAAGAAUGAUGGAAGUCACUGUGUUCUUGGGGACUUUUAAUGCUGCAGACAUAUUUUGGUGUCCUUCCCCAGAUCUGAACCUCGACGUCAUGGCUUGGUUUUUGCUCUGAUGUGCACUGUCAAUUUGGGACCUUUUAAUAGACAGGUGUGUGCUUUUCCAAAUCAUGUCCAAUCAAUUGAAUUUACAACAGAUGGACUCCAAGUUGUAGAAACCUCUCAAGGAGGAUCAAUGGAAACAGGAUGCACCUGAGCUCAAUUUUGAGUCUCAUAGCAAAGGGGCUGUAAACUUAAUGUAAAUAAGGUAUUUUUAAUAAAUGUACAAAUAUUUCUAAAGACCUGUUUCACUUUGUCAUUAUGGGAUAUUGUGUGUAGAUUGCUGAGGAAUUACUUUUAUUUAAUCAAUUUUUGAAUAAGGCUGUAACGUAACAAAAUGUGGAAUAAGUCGAGGGGUUUGAAUACUUUCAGAAGGCCCUGUACGUAAUAGUCAUAUCCUAAAGAACUGAGGAUUCCCUAACAUUCUGGAAUAUUCAUUGAAAGGAUGUGCCGUCCAUCAGGUCAAACGGUGCCGUCCAUCAGGUCAAACGGUGCCGUCCAUCAGGUCAAACGGUGCCGUCCAUCAGGUCAAACGGUGCCGUCCAUCAGGUCAAACGGUGCCGUCCAUCAGGUCAAACGGUGCCGUCCAUCAGGUCAAACGGUGCCGUCCAUCAGGUCAAACGGUGCCGUCCAUCAGGUCAAACGGUGCCGUCCAUCAGGUCAAACGGUGCCGUCCAUCAGGUCAAACGGUGCCGUCCAUCAGGUCAAACGGUGCCGUCCAUCAGGUCAAACGGUGCCGUCCAUCAGGUCAAACGGUGCCGUCCAUCAGGUCAAACGGUGCCGUCCAUCAGGUCAAACGGUGCCGUCCAUCAGGUCAAACGGUGCCGUCCAUCAGGUCAAACGGUGCCGUCCAUCAGGUCAAACGGUGCCGUCCAUCAGGUCAAACGGUGCCGUCCAUCAGGUCAAACGGUACCGUCCAUCAGGUCAAACGGUGCCGUCCAUCAGGUCAAACGGUGCCGUCCAUCAGGUCAAACGGUGCCGUCCAUCAGGUCAAACGGUGCCGUCCAUCAGGUCAAACGGUGCCGUCCAUCCGGUCAAACGGUGCCGUCCAUCCGGUCAAACGGUGCCGUCCAUCCGGUCAAACGGUGCCGUCCAUCAGAUCAAACGGUGCCGUCCAUCAGAUCAUGCCAGCUCAUCUGGUACUAUAAGUCUAUAAUCAGGAUGGGAACCUUUUUGAGAAGCGAAGUGGUAGCCGGAUAGAGCCACUUAAAAUAGGAAGGAAAGAAAAUCCCAAAGAAACAAACUUGUAAUUGGUAAUUUUUGUAAUGGAAAAACCUGGUCUGUAAAAAAGAUCUGAUCAUUUCUCAC